AGAACGAACGCUGGCGGCAUGCCUAAUACAUGCAAGUCGAACGAACUCUUCGGAGUUAGUGGCGCACGGGUGCGUAACGCGUGGGAAUCUGCCCCUUGGUUCGGAAUAACAGUUGGAAACGACUGCUAAUACCGGAUGAUGACGAAAGUCCAAAGAUUUAUCGCCAAGGGAUGAGCCCGCGUAGGAUUAGCUAGUUGGUGAGGUAAAGGCUCACCAAGGCAACGAUCCUUAGCUGGUCUGAGAGGAUGAUCAGCCACACUGGGACUGAGACACGGCCCAGACUCCUACGGGAGGCAGCAGUAGGGAAUAUUGGACAAUGGGCGAAAGCCUGAUCCAGCAAUGCCGCGUGAGUGAUGAAGGCCUUAGGUUGUAAAGCUCUUUUACCCGAGAUGAUAAUGACAGUAUCGGAAGAAUAAGCCCCGGCUAACUCGUGCCAGCAGCUGC
Molecule: ribosomal RNA, 444 nt
Filed under: uncultured soil bacterium
Lineage: Bacteria
Description: bacterial SSU rRNA
Rfam family: Bacterial small subunit ribosomal RNA
Source: RNAcentral